Molecule: unclassified non-coding RNA, 202 nt
Filed under: Hevea brasiliensis (rubber tree)
Lineage: Eukaryota; Viridiplantae; Streptophyta; Magnoliopsida; Malpighiales; Euphorbiaceae
Source: RNAcentral
AUUCUCUGUCUUUAGCUCUUAACUAUAUCUUGGAUUGUUGAUCGAAAUGAUUUCUCUAAUCUUUGAAACCUUUGAUGGCCAAUCUGCUAACAUUUUCUCCUUGAGACUGAGAGUCCAUUAUUGCCUACUUUUUGUCUCCCAAAACUCCUUUAAUGCAUAACCUUUUUUUUAUGUCUGGAUUCAUUUAGAAAUGUUAUGGAAA